CUCGGUCCCCUCGGCUCCGGGGGCGCCCGGCUGGGCCCAGCUCCGCGGGCGCGCCCCCGUCACCCCCUCCCAGGCCAGUUCAGGGCAGCGCCAAGGGGCCGCGGGCUCAGGCUGAGGCCUCCUCCUGCCUAGGCGUCUGGCGUCCGUUUGUCUGUCCGAGGCCUCAGCGCAGCUUACGAUUCUUCAUCAACUCGUAAAAUGAGAUCGCCGCGGAGCUCGAGCCUAUUUGGCGUCUCCGGAGACUAGCAAGACCCUCUGAAAGACACCGCGUCCCCAGGGAUAAUCCCCCGUGUCCGGCAAAGCUGCCCCGCUCGAGCGCGAACCCUGGGACCCAGCGCGGGAGGCAGACCAGCAGCUGGCCGCUGGGCUGUGAACGCCAGGACCGAGCGGAAGCUUCCCGCCCGGCCGCGAUCGGUGCCGCGGCUCUCAGGGAAGUGGCUACGCGCGUCCCUCGGGAAAGCAGCUGGCACACAUCCACCCCAGAACAUUGGCACUAGCUGUCCCUGUACCCAGAUACCACAUGGCUUCCUCAUACUUUGGGCCUGGUCACCUUCUUGGACCACCUCCUGAUGAACUGUGGGUGACAGCUGGAGCACAGGUGGGUUCUGGAAGCCCUGCAGCCUGGGGUCAGGAUGAAGAUUACCCAGGGCCAGCAGGCAAGCCUGAGAGGCCGGUCUCCAGGCUUUGCAGCUCCCGGCAAGAGGUCCCAGAGGUCUUGCCCUUCCAGAGAUGAAUGCUUGAGGCCCAGAACAUGGGGCCAUCCGGAGCCAAGGCCUGGGAUGUUAGAGGAGGGGAACUCGGGACUCCAUGCAAGGACCACGGGUCAGCCCUGUGCCUGUCCAGACCACCUGCAUGGGACACAGCAGGGGCCCAGAACUGGGCAUCCAGUGGAUCACUGCAGCAGCAUCUGUGUGUCCAUAUCCAGGUAGCCGCACCCAGAUUUUCCCUCCAGGGACCACCCCCUCCCACUCUCAGUUCAAGGUGGUCCAUGUGGAGCACCCACCUCUGGCCCAGCCAGUCAGAGCCAUCCUGGCUGAUUGAUUCUGGGCACAUGACUCUGGAGGAUCCAUGGAGAGUCCAACCUGGAAACUUGGCAAGAAUCCUCGGGGACUGCCCUCCUGCUGGGGUCAUGUGGCACUGGGAGCUGCGGUGGCCAUCUUUACUGCCACCCAGGAGAGCCUGCCGGAGAGUGAGACCAACACAGAGCAGCAGAGACAGAGACAGACUGGCUCCCGAGCGUUCAGCCCCAGUGCCGGAAGCCAGCUAGAGCCCUGGCCUUUUCAGUGACAUGAGCCAAUGACAACUCCCAGUUCUCUCCCUCCGGUCAAUCUGAAGCCGGGUUUUUGCCUCUUACAACUGAAAGAGUCCUGGUGGUCACAGGCAUGGCUGAUUAAAGAUGCCCACCAGGUCUUUGUUACACCCUCAUAUACUUGGGGCCUUGAAUGUGGGUGUGCUCUGAGAUGACUUGACCAGGAGAAUACGGUAGCAGUGACACUGCAGUUUCCAGCCCAGGCCUGAAGAGAUGAUUAGCGCCCACUCCUUGCUUCUUGAAAGUCUCUCCUUGGGAGUCCUGGGCUGCUAUGUUAAAAAUCCAACUGCCCUGAGGCCACCAUGAUGUGAGGAGGCUGGAGCCAGGUGGAGAGGCCAUGGUGGCGAAAGAGCUGCCGGACCAGUUCCCAUUGCCCCAGCCCCCAGCCAUCUGAGUCAUCCCCACUGAGGACACAGAUAUCACAGAGCAGAUACGAGCUAUCCCUGCACCGCCCAUCCAGAUUCUUUACCCAGUUUGUGAGAUAUAAUAAUAAUGAACUGUUUUAGGCCACUGAGUUUUGGGGUCAUUUUUAAAGCAGCAAUAGACAGAUGGAACAAUAGUAAUGAGCAAAGGGCCACAUAUACCUAUUGGAUUGGGAAGCAAGACAGAGAUGGGGCUGCCACUGUGCGCAGGAUCGACUCACCUCCUUGGGAAUUCUUAUACACGCCCGUAUGAGUGCAGGAUGCAUGAGUAGGAUAGUGGAGCCGAAAGGGUCUUGAUAGCAGAUGGCCUUGAAUUUGAGUCCCUACUCUGCUGUAAGAUCAGCUCUGAGUCCCAGGGCUAUGUUAUUUCCCCUCCUCGAGCCUCAGUUUCUUCACCUAUCAUAUAAAAAUAUUAGUACUGUGUUGCUAGGAUGAGAUUCAGCUGCACAUAACAAGGAGAUACAAAUUUUUUUUUCUGUCAUGUGAAAAUUCACAGGUAGGCAAUCCAGGGCUACUAUAUCACUCCCUGGUGUCAGAAAGCAAGGUUGGCUUUCGUCGCCUCACAUUCCAAGAUGGCUGUUACAGCCUCACCAUUGUAUCUACAUUCCAGGGAGCAGCAAGGAGGAAGUGAAUAAAGAACAAAAUGUUCACAUCAGCUGUCUCUUAAGGAAGUCCCCUGAAAGCUGACACAUCCACUUGUAUCCCAUUGGCUAAAGCACAGUCACAUGACCAUAUCUAGCUGCAAAGGAGGCUAGGGAAUGUAGUCUUGCUCUGGGAAAUCAUGUGCUCAGCUAAAAUUCUAUGGAGGAAUAAUAGCUUUUGGAAGAUACCUGACAGUCUCUGCCAAAAGUAUCUAUGUCAAGAGUUUAUGUAAUGACUGACGUGAUUUUGAAGAGGUUUUGUUUUGAACCUCUGCUGCAUGCCAGUUUCCACAAAACUAACUGCAAAAGACAUAAUCAGGUCUUUUGUAGGACAUGGCACAGGGGCUGACACAUAGUAGGUGCCCAGUAAAUGAGGCGUCCUUGUUUGCUCUUCUAGCUGCACACCUUGCUGCUCUCCUCAAUGGUGUUUCUCUGCCCCAACCCUCCAAGGAUGAGCUCCCUCCCCAAGAGGAUACCCUGUUUCAUUUUCUUCACAUCAUUUACCAUAACUAUUUGUUUCUUAAUUUGUUCAUCAUCCAUCUCUCUCCACUCUAAUAUACACAACACGAAGAGAGGGAGAGUAUCUCUAGGGUCCCACCAAGGAAAUAGAAGUCACUUGAAAAGUGUAAAGCUUAAUUUAAAAGUUAAAAUUCAGAGAUGUGAUUGUGCAGGUGAUGGAAUUGCUAAGAACAGGGGACAAUGAGGCAGCACAGAAAUUAGGAGCAAGAAGCUGUUACCUCCCCAGGGUUGGAGGGGCAAUGGGAGGAGAUGGCAUUACCAGAGCCCAAGGCCUGGGUGACACAGGGAGACUCAGCAGGCCUGUCCAGUGGGAGCUGUAGCUGUAGGAAAGACAGAGCCACACCAGAGAUGCCACCUGAGAUGAAGAGGAAGGGGGAGAAUACCCUGGCUCCUCCCUUGUUCACUCCAGGGCCUCUCAUUGGCUGAAUCCAGCAGGAAUCCAGCUGGCCUCACACCUUGGGGCUAAGCUCCCCUCCCUGAUGGGUGACACAGAGCCAAGGGAUGGGAUAACAAGAGCUAAGGGCAAACUAGCCCGGGGCUGGCACUGGUGACUUCAUCUGUCUUGUUAUCUUCUGCAUCUGGAGCUUCAAAGGCACAGCCUGGCACACGGUAGGACCUCAAUAAACAGUGGAUGAAUAGAUUGGGGUUCUCAACUCACCUUAGCACCUAUAGAAGCUGUUUAGAGUCCACAAAACAACUCUUGUACCUGUGAGGGCUCCUAGGUGCUAGGCCCACAAAGGGAGGCAUGUUAUGGCCGUGGCAUUCUGCUUGGCCAGGAUCCGAGAGGAGCCUCCCAAUUGGAGGAUUUAGCCCAAGUUGCUUCAUUCCCUGUCCAGUGGAGCCUGGCCUCUCUCUCAGCCUCCAUCAACACCCAGAAUCCUCCAUGAUGAGCUCCUAUCCCACCAGGGCAGAGAGUGGGCAUGUCCUCAUCAGGGAGAGAAAGGACAGAGACAGACAGACAGGAAGAGAGAAACAGCCAUGCAGCCAGGGCUGGGGCUCUGCUUGCCAUUGCCCUCUAUGCACUCUAACUGUGGCAAAACCUGUGCAAAGUACAUGGAUGCUACCAACCACUGGCAAAGGAAUAGGAAGCAUAUUCCUGUGGCCCGGCAAAUGCGUGGGGAUGGCUUCAUCCACAUCCUGCAGGAAGAAAUUAAAUUAAUUGACAGGUCCAAAUGUGAGUGGACAGGUGGGGCAGCAGGAGCUCUGCACGCCACUGGUGGGAGUGUUUUUUGGAAAGUGCACUUUGUAAGAGAAUUUGGCAACACUAACAAGGACGUGUGUACAGGUGAGCUCAGCAGUUCCCUGCACAGGUAAAAUCUCAGCAGCAUCCACUGAUAUAAACACAACCACAGUAACAACGCCUGGGAGCCACCCAGGUCCAUUCACAGGAGAAAGGAUAAAUGAACCAUGUCAUGCCCACACAAUGGAAUACUCGACAGCAAUGAAGACGAACAACAGUGUCACGCAUCAACGCAGAUGUACCUCCCAACAAUACUGUGAGAGAAAAAGGCAAGUCACCAAAGAACACGUAUGUAUGAGGCCAUUCAAAUAGCUCUUCUGGAUUUCACUCCUGGGGAUGUCAAGGACCCACUAGAGUUUCCAAGCCAUGUUCACAUGUCACCUCCUUGACUAAAGGGACAUGACCAAUAAAUGCAAUGUGGGGUCCUGAACUGGAUCCUAGAGCAGGACAGAAAUAGCUAUAAAGGACAUUCUUGGGACAAUUGACGUUUAGAUAUGGAUUGUGGGGUUCGAUCAUAGUAUCAUAUCAAUGCAAAUUGUCCUAGCUCUGAUAAGCAUAUGUGUUUAUGUAAGAGAAUGUCCUUGUUUUUAGGGAACAAACACUGAAAUAUACAAUAGUAGAGAGGCAUCAUGUCUCCACCAUACUCUCAGAUGGUUCAGGAGAAAUAUGCGUGUGUCUCCGUACAUAUUAAUAUAGAGAGAAUGGUACAGCCAGUGGGACAAGUUGUAAGCAAUUGGUGAAUCUAGGUAAAGGGUAUAUGGGAAAUUGCAUCAAAAUUAAAAGUUAUGAACAUGGGGGAGAAAACCCAGUUCUUCUAUAAAAACAGCCUCCAGCCUCUCCCUCCAGCACAACCUGUCCCCACACGUGGGGCACCCGGCACCCAUGCUCUGGCUCUUGUCUCUCUGGGUCUUAGUCCCACUUAGCACCCCACACCCAAAGGUCAUGUUUUCACAGAUGUGUACCCUCAAGACUAAACACACACUUGAGGCAUUCAUGUGACUAUACAUAUUUAUGGAAAAAGAAAAUUCUUGGGCUCACAAAACUGAACGCUCCAGGGUGGACUGUCUCAGGUGGCCUUAAUCGGGGUGCUGACAACAUCCAGACGAGCACGCAGGCUUCUCUCCCUGCCACGGCGGUGCCAUUCUCCAACGGACUCUGCCGCCGUGGCUGCAAGAUGGUGGCAGCAGCUCCAACCCCUGCACCCUUUUGUGGCCAAGUCCAGUGGGAAGAAUGUGAGGUCUUCUUCCAGAAGCUUCUGCAGAUUCUCAUUAGCUUCAGCUGGGUCAUGUGUCUGUCAUCCCUGACCUGGCCUCUGGGGUCAGGAAGGCACCAUGGUCAGACUGGCCAGGCCUGAGCCCCAAGCCCCAAGUCCAACCUCUUCACAAAGCACAGCUGGCUGGGGCAGAGCGGUGCCCCCAGUGGAAAAUCAAGAUGCAGUUUCAGAAGGAUGGAAAUGGAUGCUGGGUGGCGAAACGGCAGAAACCCACCCCGGCCCACGCCCUUGCCUGUCCAAAAUCCAUGCACAUGCUUCUUCCCAUGCUCCCUCUGGGGGAGGUGUGCUAGGCAGCACAGAUGUAUGCACAGCUCCCCACAGAUGCCACCCUCAUCCUUGGAAACUGUCAAUGCCCAUGAAUUUGUUACCUCACGUAGCAAAAGAGACUUUGCAGAUGUAAUUAAGGCUGCUCGUCAGUUGACCUUAAAAUAGGGAGAGUGUCUUGGAUCAUCCACAUGGGCUCAGUGGGUCACACAAGCCCUUAAAAGCAGAGAACUUUCCAUGGCUGGUGGCAGAGGUAGAAAGGACAUUGGAAAGAGACAGCAUGGGGGAAAGGGAGAUUUAAAGCUUGGGAAGGAAGGAUGGAAAGCGCGACUGCUGCUUUGAAAACAAAGGAAGCCUCAGGCCACGUAGCAAAGAAAUGGAGACCCCAGGCCUGCAAUCAUAAGCGACUGAAUUCUGCUCACAACCCUAAUGAGCACCUCCGGGAAAGAGCCCAGCCUGCCAACACCUCGAUUUUGCCUUGUAAGCCCCUAAGCAGAAAAUACAGUUGAGGCACUCUCUGCCCAGACUUGCAGUGCACAGAAACUGUGAUGCUAAAUGGAUGUUGCUUGAAGCUGCUCAGUUGGUGGCACUUUGUUACAGCAGCAAUGGAAAAUGAAUACUGGAGGUAACACUGUCUCUCCCAGUGACAGGUCCGGCUCCAGGAGCUGGACCCCAGUGACCGUGUUACAGUCUAGGCUUAAGGCCCCCCUCACUCCCAACCUCACCUGUGCAGAGAGGGAAGGAAAAGUGCCAUGUCAACCCCCAGUAAGGGAAAGGAGGAUGGGAGACCCCUAGCCUGCAGCACAUCCAAAGCCCUGCUAGAAAAAUACUGAGAAAUGUUAGACAUUGAGCUACCACAGGACCCAGGAUUACAACUCCUGGGUAUCUACCCAAGGCAAAUGAAAACAUGUGUCCCCAGAAAAAUUUGCACACAAUGUUCAUAGCAGCAUUAUUUAUAAUAAUUGAGAAAUGGGAAUAGCCCAAAUGCCCAUCAGCUAAUGAAUAGAUAAACAAAAUAUGGCAUAGCUAUACAAUGGAAUAUUAUAUGGCCCUAAAAAGUAAUGAAGAAGCCAGACAUAAAAGGCUUUGUGUGAUUCCAUUUCCAGACAGAAAGCAGAUUAGUAGUUGCUGCAGGCUGGCGGGAGGGAGGAAUGGAAAGUGGCUGCUAACAGGAACACGGUUUAUUCUGGGGGCAAUGAAAGUGUUCUAAACUUAGAUGUGAUGAUGGAUGUACAACUGCGUGAAUAUACUAAAAAGCAUUGAAUGGCAUUGAAUGGUUCAUCUUAAAUGGGUGAAUUUUAUAGUGCGUGAAUUAUAUAGAUAAAGAUGUAAAAGAUUUGUUUAACAUCAAUAAAGAUGUAAAAAAAAAAAUGUUGAGUUUCUUGGGCAGCCAGUUCAACUGCCCAGCCCUGCCCUCUAGGAGGAAAACGAGUACUCCCUGCCCACCCUUCACCAUUCCCACAUCUGAAGUGGGCAUUGGGGAUCUCAGUUCUCUAGUGGCCAGUUCCUAAUGGUGCAGAUUCUAGACUGCAGAGAUUGCUUGGGCUUGGAAAUAACAUCACAGACUUUUUCAAAAAAAUUUUUGUCUUGUUUUUGUGUUUUGUUUUGCUUUUUGUUUGCUUGUUUGUUUGUUUUUACCAGACUUGAAGUUUUGGGGCAGUACAACUCCAUCAAAAAAAUUUUGACCUCAAGUGAUCUGCCCAUUUCAGCCUCCCAAAGUGCUGGGAUUACAGGCAUGAACCACCGCACCCAGCCUCCAUCAAAAAUGUAUUAGGCAUUUCCCUGUCUUUAUUUUUAAAUAUAUAUAUAUUGUAGUCUGGGCAUGGUGGUUCACACCUGUAAUCCUAGCACUUUGGGAGGCUGAAGAGGGAGGCUUGCUUGAGCCCAGGAGUUCAAGACCAGCCUGGGCAACAUAGCAAGAGCUCUUCUCUACUAAAAAUAAAAAUUAAAAAAAAUUAGCCAGGCUAUGUGGUACAUGCCUGUAGUCCUAGCUACUCAGGAGGCUGAGGCAGGAGGAUUGCUUGAGCCCAAGAGUUCAAGAUUGCAGUGAGCUAUGAGUACACCACUGCACUCCAGUCUGGGCAACAGAGCCAAACACUGUCUCAAA
Molecule: long non-coding RNA, 7775 nt
Filed under: Homo sapiens (human)
Lineage: Eukaryota; Metazoa; Chordata; Mammalia; Primates; Hominidae
Description: non-protein coding GATA2-AS1:18
Source: RNAcentral